AGUGAACGCUGGCGGUAGGCCUAACACAUGCAAGUCGAACGGCAGCACAGGAGAGCUUGCUCUCUGGGUGGCGAGUGGCGGACGGGUGAGGAAUACAUCGGAAUCUACUUUUUCGUGGGGGAUAACGUAGGGAAACUUACGCUAAUACCGCAUACGACCUACGGGUGAAAGCAGGGGAUCUUCGGACCUUGCGCGAUUGAAUGAGCCGAUGUCGGAUUAGCUAGUUGGCGGGGUAAAGGCCCACCAAGGCGACGAUCCGUAGCUGGUCUGAGAGGAUGAUCGGCGACACUGGAACUGAGACACGGUCCAGACUCCUACGGGAGGCAGCAGUGGGGAAUAUUGGACAAUGGGCGCAAGCCUGAUCCAGCCAUACCGCGUGGGUGAAGAAGGCCUUCGGGUUGUAAAGCCCUUUUGUUGGGAAAGGAAUCCAGCUGGCUAAUACCCGGUUGGGAUGACGGUACCCAAAGAAUAAGCACCGGCUAACUUCGUGCCAGCCGCCGCAGUAA
This 506-nucleotide ribosomal RNA is filed under the name uncultured bacterium. Its description in RNAcentral is "partial 16S ribosomal RNA". It matches the Rfam family "Bacterial small subunit ribosomal RNA", at positions 29 to 523 of the family's 1533-position model. The record is from RNAcentral.